Brassica rapa (field mustard) is the source of this 3497-nucleotide long non-coding RNA. RefSeq lists it as uncharacterized. The record is from RefSeq and is a predicted model, not a curated record. NCBI's taxonomy places the organism in Eukaryota, Viridiplantae, Streptophyta, Magnoliopsida, Brassicales, Brassicaceae.
GAUAAACCCUAAACCCUUGGGAUUUAGGAUUUACCCAAGGGUUCAGGGUUAAGGAUUUAUUGUUUAGUAUUUUUAAAAUAUAGUUUUAAUGUUUAUGAUUUAGAGUUUAGGAUUUAUCUAAGGGUUUACGUUUUACCCGAGGAUUUAAGGUUUAGGAUCUAUGGUUUAGGGUUUAGUGUUUUGUUGACCGCAUUAACACUAUUAAACAAUUUUUUUUUUGGUAAUUACUAUUAUUUUUUAUUUAUUUUAAAAUUAUAAUAUAGCUUGACAAAUUAUUAUUAUCUUGUUUCUUUUUUUAAAAGAUAUUGAAUUUUAAAUAACUAAAAUUUAUUGGUUGGUGAACCUAGAAGUUCAUCGGGAUGAAUCUAAGAAUUCUUUUUUUUAAAUGCGUCUGUUUACAAACGUAUUGUAAUCCAAUUCAUUUAAAGAACUCUAACAGUAAAAUUUUACAAUCGUAAGUCUUUAAAAAAUAUGUAAAAUUACCGAUUAAAAUUUAUUUUUAUAAUUAUUCUACAAAAAACAAAAUUGUUUCAAACAUAAAGUUGAGUAUCCUACUAUAUAUUAAUUGAGAAGUCACUUGUGCUUAGGUGUCAUUUUAGGUGAAGUUUAGAAUUAAUUCUCAAACUUGAUUGAUUGUUGGUAUUUGAAUUUUCAUUUAUUUAAUUAAAGUUUUAAAAACGAAACUAAUCCUAGAACUACAUAAUCUAAUCUAUAUCACCAUAAAACAAUUAAAUAUUUUAAGAAAACAGAAUUAACAUAAUUUUUUAUAGAAACAAUUAAAUAUCAUAAGUUACAUUAUAUAAUUUUAAACAAAUACAUAUGGUAUGACAUAAAUAAUUAUAUAAACGAUUUUAACAUAUUUAUAUUAAUAGUGGAUACAAUAAAUUAUAGAUUACAAAAAACUAAUCAACCUAAACCUAAUAUUUUUUUGUUAUACUCACUAUAUAUAUAUAUUUUUUUUUUCUUCUUCUAAAAUGUGUCCAAUGAAUGCAAAACAGUCAAAUAUACAAUUUUAAGAACAUUCAUUCAUUUUUUAGUGACAAAUGUUGAUUGUAUAGUUGGGUUAUUACUUUCAGAAAUGAUUAAAAUAUUUGUAUAUUAAAAAACAUAAAAAUAUAUAGUAAGUCGGUUAAAAUAAUAUUAAUAAAUGAAAAUAUUUAUUAUAAUAUAAAAUUGAAAAAUUGGAACAUCUAACACUACUAAAAGCCGAAUAAGGAGAGCAACGAGCGUGCCAUGUAGGAUUUUUUAUUCAGGCCAAUAAGAUUUAUUUGCUUCGACACGUCAGAACAGCAUUGUCUACAGAAACUGGGCCUCUAUGUGGUUUCCAACAAAAUUAACAUGGCCAUGUGGAGCCCGACAAUUACAAUUCAACUUCUCAAUUCUCUGUGAUCGACUAAUCCACUAUAUCUUCUAUCUCUGUAACCCCCUCUUAAUCAAUGUUCUUUUUUUGUCCAAAAAAAAAAAUCAAUGUUCUUUUUAUACCUUCUGGCUGGUUUCGUUCCACCUUACGUUCAUCCUCCUCCUAUAUAAAUGGCUUCGUCUAAACCUAAAUCCUAUCAAAAUCGAAACCUAGCAGUAAGAUCAACUGAAACCACUAAUCACCGUAGAGCUCCUUCUGAUCGAUGAGCAGGUAUGAGAUUGACUUCCUCAUAUUCAUUUUUUUACGACUCAAUUCCACUUACCCAUACGAUAUGAAAUCGACUUCCUAAAGUGCUAGAUUUCUGUUUGUUAAGAUUUGUUCCACUGUCGUAACGAUUCAAUCCCUCUGAUUAAUUGGUGUGGUGUGAGCGUGAUUGUACCUCUGAGCAAUAAUAUUUUAAACGAUGGAGAUGACCACAAUCUAUAGUGUGGAAUUGGAAGAGGAUAAUUUUGGAGGAAGCUUAAGGUAUCAAGGGGCUGCCACUCGCCUAAUAGAUGCCUGUUGGACUCACGUUAUGUACUUUGAAAGUAAGCUUUAUCUCUCCCUCUCUUGAGUUUUAGUUUGUCUCAUACUCCUGGUUUCUUUAUCCACUUACGGACGAUUCACAAAUUCUCUGUGAGCUUAUCAGAUAGACUCAACACCAAAAGAUACACCUCUAAUUUGGUGUUGCUUUGUUUUAAUCCUCAAUCUAGAAUUUUGCACUACCUUACAUGUUCUAAGUAAGCUUUUUUUUAAAAAAAUAAAUAUCUUAUUCGUUUAACUACAAGUGAAACAAUAGAAUUACAAAGAUUAAGUGAUUGUGAAUAGAUGGCUAAUAUAUAUAGUGAUAUGUAUUCCUGUGAAACUGUUUGGUGUCACUUUGUCCCCCUUUGACAGGAAAGAUUGAAUGGCACUUUCCACUUUUAUCUUCUAGGUCCCUGAAUCUACGAUCACACUUUGAUGGUCUAAUUAUCUUACUGCAAAAUUGAAUUAUUCCAGCUUUGAUUUACUUUGUAUAUGUUGUGUUAUGUUUCAUGGCUUUCUAUGCUUGAACGUGCAUUCUAUCAAUCAUAUUGACUUAUUUUCCUGUCUGAAAAUAUUUUUCUACAUUAUUUUUCUUAUGGAUUGGCUUCCUACUUCUUCAGGGAGGAGUAUAUUUUAAGUGGCUCACAAUAUAAAAAAAACUCCCUCAGAAAAUGUUUCAGGUACUGCAGAUGUUAAAUUUCAGCUAAUGCAUUUGUACGCGGCUAAAGUGAGAGUGACUUUGUUUUUCCUUCUCCUGAGUCUCCCAAGGUUUGGGAUUUUUUUUGCAUAAAAUGGGUAGAGGGAGAUGAAAGUAGCGUAGAAGAUAUUGCAGGGCACAUGAAGAAAAAUAACAUAUUUGGAUUGACGAGUGAAGACAUUUUAUUGGUAAAAUCAAAUUCAGCAUCAAUUCAACGUUCAUGAGAGAGAGGCAUACAAAGUAGCUAAAAAAAUAUUGACCAAGGUGAAGUUGUUGAACCAGACAAGGUUUCCUAUGGACUAAUGGAAAAGGGUUGAUUUGAUGGUCUGAUAACAAUAUCUCAAGAAAGAGAAUGACGAUGUGGAUGUCAAAUUUGGUAAAGGCUGGCUGCUUCUUUACAGGAUUGACAUAGAAAGGUCACACAUGAUGAAGUUGCAGCUGCCGCGAUGUACGAUCAUUCAGAUUCAAUCGUGUUUCAGGUAUAAACAAUAGAGAAAAGUGAGUCUGCAGGUAUUAUUCUUUGGGCCAUAUGUUUCUGUGUGACCCAUAAAACAUAGUUGACUCAUGUUUGUUUCUCAGUGGUGUUGCUGUGUGAAUGGUGAUGGAAUAUGCAGACAAUAUUGUAUAUUUGAUAAACUGGCAAAUACAUAUUCAAUUCGCCAGCAGAUCCUUGAGCAGUAGUUCAUUUUUGUACAUGGAAUUUAAUCUUUAUCAGUCUGUAUCUAGGUUUAUUUCACAUAGUGGAACUGCUUAUCACUGCAGUUCUCUCUAUUGUCUAUGUAUACUUAUUCAGUUUUCAUGUAUCCUUAGCUUUCUACCUGGAUUCAAGUAAGUUAACCGCAUUUUCCUCUGUCAAUACAAUUCACAUUUUACUCA